CCAUGCGAGUCACCGUAGCAAUACGUGGCAUACGGCUCAGUAACACGUAGUCAACAUGCCCAGGGGACGUGGAUAACCUCGGGAAACUGAGGCUAAACCGCGAUAGGUCAAGAUUCCUGGAAUGGAUCAUGGCCCAAAUCUAUAUGGCCCCUGGAUUGGACUGCGGCCGAUCAGGCUGUUGGUGGGGUAAUGGCCCACCAAACCUGUAACCGGUACGGGCUCUGAGAGGAGGAGCCCGGAGAUGGGCACUUAGACAAGGGCCCAGGCCCUAUGGGGCGCAGCAGGCGCGAAACCUCUGCAAUAAGCGAAAGCUUGACAGGGUUACUCUGAGUGAUUUCCGCUAAGGAAGUCUUUUGGCACCUCCAAAAAUGGUGCAGAAUAAGGGGUGGGCAAGUCUGGUGUCAGCCGCCGCGGUAAUACCAG
This 423-nucleotide ribosomal RNA is filed under the name uncultured Candidatus Cenarchaeales thaumarchaeote. RNAcentral's name for it is "bacterial SSU rRNA". It matches the Rfam family "Archaeal small subunit ribosomal RNA", at positions 49 to 479 of the family's 1478-position model. The record is from RNAcentral. Lineage: Archaea; Thermoproteati; Nitrososphaerota; Candidatus Cenarchaeales.